This is a long non-coding RNA of Rhincodon typus (whale shark), 371 nucleotides long. RefSeq lists it as uncharacterized. The record is from RefSeq and is a predicted model, not a curated record. The transcript is spliced from 4 exons. NCBI's taxonomy places the organism in Eukaryota, Metazoa, Chordata, Chondrichthyes, Orectolobiformes, Rhincodontidae.
GGUUGAAGGUGGUGGUGUUGUUCCUGUGUGUUGUGUGUGUGAGUGAAAGAGAGAGAGAGGUUUGUCUGGGCAGCUAUGGAGAUCACCAGGCAGAAUUUUAAGGAGCGCCUAAAUCUAAUAUAUGAAGCUAUUGAUGAAGCUGAUUUUCUGGCAAUCGAUGGAGAAUUUUCAGGAAUAAGUGAUGGACCUUCAGUGACCACACUGACAAAUGGCUUGGACACGCCAGAAGAAAGAUAUCAUAAGCUGAAAAAGAAUCAUAGAAACAUACAGUACAGAUGAGGUUCUUCAGCCUAUUGAGUCUGCACUGACUUUUGAGAAACACCUGACUUUCAACAUAAUCCUGUUUACAAGCACUAGGCCCAUGGCCUUGG